CGGCUGUAGCUAAAUCAAAUUUAAUGGCUGAGAAGUUAACUGGCCGGUUGUCGUUUUACAGUCGACUAAUCUGCUUACCGAACUUCUUACAUUC
RNAcentral lists this small nucleolar RNA (94 nucleotides) under Corchorus olitorius. RNAcentral describes it as "Small nucleolar RNA snoR109". It matches the Rfam family "Small nucleolar RNA snoR109". Lineage: Eukaryota; Viridiplantae; Streptophyta; Magnoliopsida; Malvales; Malvaceae. The record is from Rfam by way of RNAcentral.